AGCGGGAAGAGCUCAAAGUUAAAAUCGGGGUUCUGAGAGGAGCUUCCGAAUUGUAAUCUAGAGACACUUUUUCAGCUUCGACCCGGGUAUAAAUCUUUUGAAACGAGGUGUCAUAGAGGGUGAGAAUCCCGUCUUUGAUCCGGAGUUCGGGGCGUACGAAGGGUGUUCCAAGAGUCGAAUAGCUUGGGAAUGCUGUUCUAAAUGGGUGGUAAAUUUCAUCUAAAGCUAAAUAUCGACGAGAGACCGAUAGCGAACAAGUACCGUGAGGGAAAGAUGAAAAGAACUUUGAAAAGAGAGUUAAAAAGUACUUGAAAUUGUUAAGAAGGAAGCACUGGAAACCAGUUGUGCUGGCUUUACAUAGACACUACGUUGGUGAGAGGGCAAAUCGACACCUCAAAAGGUCGACCAAACUUCAAAGCUAGCGUAGUGUUCUCGUAAGGUUGGUGAGUCAGGAUCGGUUCUGUUCACGGAAGAAAGCCAACGGAAGGUAGUCCGCUCUCAGCGAUGGGAGUAGAAACUUAUAGCCGUUGGCCAACCCGGGGAUGGGACCGAGGUACAUCAACAAUACGUUCCGCAAGGCUGCAGGUGGGGGUCCCUUGCUGGCGGUGGGUUUGAAGAGCAAAGCUCUGCAGAGCUCACCGUUGGUUACUGGGCUUUCACUUGACCACGUAUUCGAGAUCUUGACGAAAUGGUUUUCAUUGACCCGUCUUGAAACACGGACCAAGGAGUCUAACAUAUAUGCGAGUAUUUGGGUGUGAAAACCCUGAUGCGCAAUGAAAGUGAAGCCAGACUUUUGUUUGGUGAGGUAGGAACCGCAAGGGGCACUAUCGACCGAUCGUUCAUUUAUGAAAGAUUUGAGUAAGAGCAUAUCUGUUGGGACCCGAAAGAUGGUGAACUAUGCCUGAUCAGGGUGAAGCCAGGGGAAACUCUGGUGGAGGCUCGUAGCGAUACUGACGUGCAAAUCGUUCGUCUGAAUUGGGUAUAGGGGCGAAAGACUAAUCGAACCAUCUAGUAGCUGGUUCCCGCCGAAGUUUCCCUUAGGAUAGCUGGAACUUAUACAGUUUUAUCAGGUAAAGCUAAUGAUUAGAGGUCCUAGAGUUGAAACAACUUUAACCUAUUCUCAAACUUUAAAUAGGUAAGAAAUCUAUGCUUUCUUUAUUGAAGCUAGAUCUCGAAUGAAAGUUCUUAGUGGGCCAUUUUUGGUAAGCAGAACUGGCGAUGCGGGAUGAACCGGACGUUAAGUUAAGGUGCCAAACUAUUCGCUCAUCUAGAUACUCCUAAAAGGUGUUGGUUCAUUUAGACAGCAGGACGGUGGUCAUG
RNAcentral lists this ribosomal RNA (1320 nucleotides) under Cercomonas sp. HFCC561. RNAcentral's name for it is "eukaryotic LSU rRNA". It matches the Rfam family "Eukaryotic large subunit ribosomal RNA", at positions 97 to 1256 of the family's 3401-position model. The record is from RNAcentral. Lineage: Eukaryota; Cercozoa; Cercomonadida; Cercomonadidae.